AUACUUACCUGGCAGGGGAGAUACCAUGAUCACGAAGGUGGUUUUCCCAGGGCGAGGCUUAUCCAUUGCACUCCGGAUGUGCUGACCCCUGCGAUUUCCCCAAAUGUGGGAAACUCGACAAAAAAAA
This 127-nucleotide small nuclear RNA is filed under the name Echinops telfairi (small Madagascar hedgehog). RNAcentral's name for it is "U1 spliceosomal RNA (ENSETEG00000024566.1)". It matches the Rfam family "U1 spliceosomal RNA". From Rfam's summary of the family: U1 is a small nuclear RNA (snRNA) component of the spliceosome (involved in pre-mRNA splicing). Its 5' end forms complementary base pairs with the 5' splice junction, thus defining the 5' donor site of an intron. Lineage: Eukaryota; Metazoa; Chordata; Mammalia; Afrosoricida; Tenrecidae. The record is from RNAcentral.